RNAcentral lists this ribosomal RNA (529 nucleotides) under Bruchidius incarnatus. RNAcentral's name for it is "partial 16S ribosomal RNA". The stretch from base 394 to 529 matches the Rfam family "Bacterial large subunit ribosomal RNA", at positions 2473 to 2608 of the family's 2925-position model. Lineage: Eukaryota; Metazoa; Arthropoda; Insecta; Coleoptera; Chrysomelidae. The record is from RNAcentral.
UCAAAAACAUGUCUUAUUGAUAUUAAUUUUAAGUCUAACCUGCCCUAUGAGUUUUUAAAUGGCCGCAGUAUUUUGACUGUGCUAAGGUAGCAUAAUCAUUAGUUUCUUAAUUAGAAGCUGGAAUGAAUGGUUGGAUGAAAAAAAUUCUGUCUCUAUUUAGUUUAGUUUAAAAUUUUAUUUUUUAGUAAAAAAGCUAAAAUUAAUUUAAAAGACGAGAAGACCCUAUAGAGUUUAAUAUAUUAUUUAUUAAUAUUUAUUGGUAUAAAAAUUUUUGAUUUAAAAAUAUAUUUAAUUGGGGUGAUUAAAAAAUUCAAUAAACUUUUUUUAUUUUUAAACAUUGAUUUAUGAUUAUUUGAUCCAUGUAUAGUGAUUAUAAGAUUAAAUUACCUUAGGGAUAACAGCGUAAUAUUUUCAGAGAGUUCUUAUCGAAGAAAAGGAUUGCGACCUCGAUGUUGGAUUAAAAUGAAUAAUUGGUGUAGAAGCUAAUUUUAUUAGGUCUGUUCGACCUUUAAAAUUUUACAUGAUCUGA